Molecule: ribosomal RNA, 252 nt
Filed under: uncultured bacterium
Lineage: Bacteria
Description: partial 16S ribosomal RNA
Rfam family: Bacterial small subunit ribosomal RNA
Source: RNAcentral
ACGGGGGGCGCAAGCGUUAAUCGGAAUUACUGGGCGUAAAGCGUGCGUAGGCGGCCGAGCAAGUCAGAUGUGAAAGCCCCGGGCUCAACCCGGGAAUUGCGUCCGAAACUGCCCGGCUAGAGUUCGGCAGAGGAAGGUGGAAUUCCGCGUGUAGCGGUGAAAUGCGUAGAGAUGCGGAAGAACACUAAUGGCGAAGGCAUCCUUCUGGGCCGACACUGACGCUGAGUCACGAAAGCGUGGGGAGCAAACAGG